GAUGAACGCUGGCGGCGUGCCUAAUACAUGCAAGUCGAGCGAACAGACGAGUAGCUUGCUCCUCUGACGUUAGCGGCGGACGUGUGAGUAACACGUGGAUAACCUACCUAUAAGACUGGGAUAACUUCGGUAAGCCGGAGCUAAUACCGGAUAAUAUAUUGAACCGCAUUGUUCAAUAGUGAAAGACGGUUUUGCUGUCACUUAUAGAUGGUUCCGCGCCGCAUUAGCUAGUUGGUAAGGUAACGGCUUACCAAGGCGACGAUGCGUAGCCGACCUGAGAGGGUGAUCGGCCACACUAGAACUGAGACGCGGUCCAGACUCCUACGGGACGCAGCAGUAGGGAAUCUUCCGCAAUGGGCGGAAGCCUGACGGAGCCACGCCGCGUGAGUGAUGAAGGUCUUCGGAUCGGAAAACUCUGUUAUUAGGGAAAAACAAAUGUGUAAGUAACUAUGCACGUCUUGACGGUACCUAAUCAGAAAGCCACGGCUAACUACGUG
RNAcentral lists this ribosomal RNA (497 nucleotides) under uncultured bacterium. RNAcentral describes it as "partial 16S ribosomal RNA". It matches the Rfam family "Bacterial small subunit ribosomal RNA", at positions 28 to 507 of the family's 1533-position model. The record is from RNAcentral.